Molecule: long non-coding RNA, 964 nt
Organism: Topomyia yanbarensis
Lineage: Eukaryota; Metazoa; Arthropoda; Insecta; Diptera; Culicidae
Exons: 3
Source: RefSeq, a predicted model, not a curated record
AAAUGCUGUUUUUGUCUCCCUGGAAUCGUGUCUUACAAGGAUAAAACAUUGUAUAAACUUUCGGAAGCGUUGGAUUAUUGUUAUAAAAUACCAAUUUAGGAAAAUUUUUCGCACAUGUUCCAGCGCUAUUGUCAAUCAAAAGCUUUCAGCAUUGAAAAUAUAUAUACAUGAGUUCAAUACGCUGGAACGUACUGUUGUUGCCAUAAACUUGGACAAUUCCUUAAGCUCAAUAUUGAAACAGUGGAAUUUAUUAAAAUGCACUACUGGUGUUCUUCAUGUGCACUUCAAUCUCCUGAAUUCAGUACAACCCAACCUUACGAUCAAAGGAAACCUUAACGCAUAUGCUGCGAAUAUAGAAAGCGUUAAGUCUGACAAAACUUUUUCGUUAUUAUUGGAAUAUAGAUAUCAAAAACAUGCAGAAUCUAGCUGCAAGUUGACAUCAACAACAAUUUAUAUAACGGAAAUAAUAUAUAAUGAGGCGCUAUUCCUAGAUACUAUUUACAAAAACAAACUGAAUCAUAUAUUAGUUCCUGCUUAUAUCAAAAACUUGUACAUGACGACUGCCAGUUUAAGAAUGGAAACAAUUAAUAUGAUAGCUAUCUCACAAAAUCAAUUUUUCUGUUCGGGUAGCGUAUUGGCAAAAGAUUACAUGCAAUUAAACGCAAUUGAAUCAGACAUCCUUAAUGUGCUGCAUUUGAAAGGAAAAGUAUUAAAGCCUCAAAAGAUUUCCAAUUUCUUUGUGUCUGCUGCGAUUAUUGAUCAUUCAAACCUAGACGGUAUGCGUAGAGUGGAGCAUCUAUUCGUGUCUGAUAAUUUAAACAGAGUACGACUGGGAGCUUUAUUGAACCAACUAUAUCAUGCCGCUAAACAAUCUCUUAUUAUUGGUAACACGACACCCUUUGGGAAUACAUCUAACAAUUAUUUGCGGACAUAAUUUUGGAAUCUAUUCUGUUUGAAGAGGACA